GAUGAAGAACGUAGCGAAAUGCGAUAAGUAAUGUGAAUUGCAGAAUUCAGUGAAUCAUCGAAUCUUUGAACGCACCUUGCGCCCUUUGGCCAUUCCGAAGGGCAUGCCUGUUUGAGUAUCAUGAACACCUCAACUCUCAUGGCUCGCCAUGAUGAGCUUGGAUUUGGGGGUCUUGCUGGCCUGUGGUCGGCUCCUCUCAAAUGGAUCAGCUUGCCAGUGUUUGGUGGCAUCACAGGUGUGAUAACUAUCUGAGCUUGUGGUUUUCCAUCAGAUAACCUUCAGUGAUGGAGGUUCGCUGGAGCUCAUAAACGUCUCCCCUAAGCGGGGACAGCCCUUUGAAUGUUUGAUCUCAAAUCAGGUAGGACUACCCGCUGAACUUAAGCAUAUCAAUAAGCGGAGGA
This 401-nucleotide unclassified non-coding RNA is filed under the name soil metagenome. RNAcentral's name for it is "partial contains 5.8S ribosomal RNA, internal transcribed spacer 2, and large subunit ribosomal RNA". The stretch from base 1 to 121 matches the Rfam family "5.8S ribosomal RNA", at positions 35 to 154 of the family's 154-position model. The record is from RNAcentral.